This 266-nucleotide unclassified non-coding RNA is filed under the name Hevea brasiliensis (rubber tree). The record is from RNAcentral. Lineage: Eukaryota; Viridiplantae; Streptophyta; Magnoliopsida; Malpighiales; Euphorbiaceae.
ACCCUAUUACUUUGUGUAACAUAUUUUGAUCGAGACUCCACGUAAGGGGUUGAAGAUGGUUGGCCUGCCUCAAAGUUAGUUUCAGAUAUAGGCCUGUAUGAAGGAGCUGAAGAAGAGACCUCUGGGAAAGCCCGUUGGAAAGGAUAAGUGACCCUAUUACUUUGUGUAACAUAUUUUGAUCGAGACUCCACGUAAGGGGUUGAAGAUGGUUGGCCUGCCUCAAAGUUAGUUUCAGAUAUAGGCCUGUAUGAAGGAGCUGAAGAAGA